Molecule: ribosomal RNA, 479 nt
Filed under: uncultured bacterium
Lineage: Bacteria
Description: bacterial SSU rRNA
Rfam family: Bacterial small subunit ribosomal RNA
Source: RNAcentral
AAUGAACGUUGGCGGCGUGGAUUAGGCAUGCAAGUCGAGCGCUCAUCAGCAAUGGUGGGAGCGGCGAACGGCGUAGUAAUGCAUCGGAACGUACCCUCUGGUCGGGGAUAGCUACGGGAAACUGUAGGUAAUACCCGAUGAACUCUGCGGAGCAAAGGUGAGAUUCCGCCGGAGGAGCGGCUGAUGUGAUAUUAGCUAGUUGGUGGGGUAAUGGCCUACCAAGGCGAUGAUGUCUAGGGGGUNUGAGAGCAUGGCCCCCACGACCGGAACUGAGAUACUGUCCGGACACCUACGGGUGGCUGCAGUCGAGAAUCUUCCGCAAUGGACGAAAGUCUGACGGAGCGACGCCGCGUGGAGGAUGAAGGCCCUCGGGUCGUAAACUCCUGUCACAUGUUAUGAAACGCACAGGUCUACCUGUGCGCUGACAAAAGCAUGAGAGGAAGUCACGGCUAACCUCGUGCCAGCAGCCGCGGUAAAGU